Molecule: long non-coding RNA, 2197 nt
Organism: Ctenopharyngodon idella (grass carp)
Lineage: Eukaryota; Metazoa; Chordata; Actinopteri; Cypriniformes; Xenocyprididae
Exons: 5
Source: RefSeq, a predicted model, not a curated record
AUUGGAUCAUUGAAGGCAAAAAUGUUAUACACACUUGACAGCUUGCCAAAUGUAAAUAAGUCAACACAGAUACGCAUGAGAUUUAACCACCUGAUCACCUUUUGGAAGAUGCUAGUGGCUUUAUAAAGGGGUGAGGAUCAGGAGGCAUUCAUACUGAAUCUAAUACAAGCGAGCCAUGGCAGUCUUUUAUGAUCUUCGGCUGAUGUCUCUGGUUGUGCUGAUGCUGGCGUCUCAGUUGGACGUUGCCAGCGCUGCUGUUCGAGUGUUUGGCUUACAUGCCACGGGCCUCACUGGUGAUCCUGGAAAUGACCCUGAUCCAUACGUCAAGGUCUGGUGUGGCUCACGUUUUGGAGGGAUGACAGAAUUUUACAGGGAUACUGCUAAUCCUUCAUGGUCUACAGAGUUCAACAUCCCCUACUGCACAGCAAAAGAAACCCUGAAGUUGCAGGUGUGGGAUAAAGACCUGAAUUUUGAUGAUCACUUGGGCACGUGUGUCAAACAGGUGCAAUAUGGGUCUUUCACUAGUUCUUGUCGUCUGAAGGGUGGAACACUUUUUUACUCAUAUAAGGUACAAUAAAUCUGUUCCAAACCAGCAUUGUGUAAAGCUGCUUUGAAACAAACCUCCACUGUAAGUCGCCUGAUAGUAAUAGUUGAACAGCAUGUUUUGCAUUGAUAUAUGUUCAUCAAAAUCAACUGCUGACAUACUUUUCUUCUUUAGUGAAAUGCUGUUCACUAUCAAAAAAUACUAAUAAAAGUCUUAAAUCAAGUUUGUCUCUGUUUUUCACUUCAUUACAUGGUUGGAAUAGAGUUUAUCAGGCUGUUCAGAGUAAAGAACUAUGGAAGCUUGUUUAUGCCAUGCACAGCAUAAAAAAUGACUUUUCUUGCAAUUGCUCAAUUACAUUAUAAAGUCUGAAUUGCGAGAUAUAAAGUCACAAUUGAGGAAAAAAAUUCACAAUUACCUUUUUUUUUUAUUCUCUGGCGCAAACCAGCUUUACAAUCACGUCUCUAUUCUCUAGUGUUUUUGUAAAUAUUAAAAUCUCUAAAACAACACACACACACACACACACACACACACACACACACACACACACACACACACAUGCAAAACAGAGGGUUAACACUACAGCUCUCAUGAGGCAAAACUCAUCAGUGAGUGACGACUUUAAUUUCGGUCUGUUCGUCCCAUAAAGAUGUCAUUUGCUUUAUAAGACUUUGAAUAUAGCAAAUGUGUCGUAUUGGAUCACAUUUCUGAUACUUUCAUUGUGAUUUUUCCCCGGCUUUUUGGAGCGUGACCGCGCACACAGAGUCCUCAUUCACUUUCAUUAUGUUAACACAAACAGUGUUGGGGAAAGUUACUUUUAAAAGUAAUGCAUUACAAUAUUGUGUUACUUCCUAAGAAAGUAACUAAUUGCGUAACUAACUUUUUAUGGAAAGUAAUCCGCUGCUUUACUUUUGUGUUACUUUUCCUCACCUGGGCUGGGCUUGCUUGUUUGUUUUUGGCAAAUGUAAAGGCCUUUUCACACCAAAAGUGAAAUGAAUAAGCUUCAGGCUGAUCACAAAUGUAAUGUUUAUUUAAAGUCAUUUUUGCUUAUUUAGUAUGGAUGAAUUGGAUCAUUGAAGGCAAAAAUGUUAUACACACUUGACAGCUUGCCAAAUGUAAAUAAGUCAACACAGAUACGCAUGAGAUUUAACCACCUGAUCACCUUUUGGAAGAUGCUAGUGGCUUUAUAAAGGGGUGAGGAUCAGGAGGCAUUCAUACUGAAUCUAAUACAAGCAAGCCAUGGCAGUCUUUUAUGAUCUUCGGCUGAUGUCUCUGGUUGUGCUGAUGCUGGCGUCUCAGUUGGACGUUGCCAGCGCUGCUGUUAGAGUGUUUGGCUUACAUGCCACGGGCCUCACUGGUGAUCCUGGAAAUGACCCUGAUCCAUACGUCAAGGUCUGGUGUGGCUCAACUUUUGGAGGGAUGACAGAAUUUUACAGGGAUACUGCUAAUCCUUCAUGGUCUGUAGAGUUCAACUUCCCCUCUUGCACAGCAAAAGAAACCCUGAAGUUGGAGGUGUGGGACAAAGACCUGAAUUUUGAUGAUCACUUGGGCACGUGUGUCAAACAGGUGCAAUAUGGGUCUUUCACUGGUUCUUGUCGUCUGAAGGGUGGAACACUUUUUUACUCAUAUAAGGUACAAUAAAUCUGUUCCAAACCA